UACGUACGGGGCAAGCGUUGUCCGGAAUCACUGGGCGUAAAGCGCACGUAGGCGGUUUGUCAAGUUGGGGGUGUAAGCUCUAGGCCUAACCUAGAAAUUGCCUCCAAAACUAGCAUACUUGAGUAUUAGAGGGGAAGCUGGAAUUCACGGUGUAGCGGUGAAAUGCGUAGAUAUCGUGGAGAACACCCGUGGCGAAGGCGGGCUUCUGGCUAAUUACUGACGCUGAGGUGCGAAAGCUAGGGGAGCGAACGGG
This 253-nucleotide ribosomal RNA is filed under the name uncultured bacterium. RNAcentral's name for it is "partial 16S ribosomal RNA". It matches the Rfam family "Bacterial small subunit ribosomal RNA", at positions 524 to 776 of the family's 1533-position model. The record is from RNAcentral.